RNAcentral lists this ribosomal RNA (365 nucleotides) under uncultured bacterium. Its description in RNAcentral is "bacterial SSU rRNA". It matches the Rfam family "Bacterial small subunit ribosomal RNA", at positions 29 to 419 of the family's 1533-position model. The record is from RNAcentral.
AACGAACGCUGGCGGCAGGCUUAACACAUGCAAGUCGAACGCGUGUAGCAAUACACGAGUGGCGCACGGGUGAGUAACGCGUGGAUAUCUGCCUUUUGGUUCGGAAUAACCCCGGGAAACUGGGGCUAAUACCGGAUGGUUCCUUCGGGAUAAAGAUUUAUCGCCAAAAGAUGAGUCCGCGUCCGAUUAGCUAGUUGGUGAGGUAAUGGCUCACCAAGGCGACGAUCGGUAGCUGGUCNGAGAGGACGAUCAGCCACACUGGGACUGAGACACGGCCCAGACUCCUACGGGAGGCAGCAGUGGGGAAUAUUGGACAAUGGGGGCAACCCUGAUCCAGCCAUGCCGCGUGAGUGAUGAAGGCCUUC